CAAAGCUUCAUUAUUUUUUUCUUUAAUACCACAAAUUAUUUAGAACCCUUCAUCAUUAUUGAGAACUUCUAUAUCCCUAUAGAAUAUUUUAUGUUAAAACUAGUAACAAGAAGUAGCACUUCACUUAAAUGUAAGUGUAAAUCAGAAAGGACUCACCACUGACUAUUAACAUUUAUGAAAAUACAUUAGCAACUCCACAAGAAAAACCUAAUUGUAACCAUGUUAACCUAACACCAGAGCAUUUCAAGUAAGAUUAAAAGAAAAAGAAGGAACUCGGCAAAUAUUAACCUCGCCUGUUUACCAAAAACAUCGCCUCUUGAUUAAAUAUAAGAGGUCCAGCCUGCCCAGUGACUCUGUUCAACGGCCGCGGUAUC
RNAcentral lists this ribosomal RNA (374 nucleotides) under Smilisca phaeota. RNAcentral's name for it is "partial 16S ribosomal RNA". Lineage: Eukaryota; Metazoa; Chordata; Amphibia; Anura; Hylidae. The record is from RNAcentral.